GGCAGUUCUUGAGUGACGCACUCCAGCAUCAGGCUCCCUCCUCUCUGGUUCUGGAUGCAUCACUCGAGAACCCCA
This is a non-coding RNA of Myotis davidii, 75 nucleotides long. Lineage: Eukaryota; Metazoa; Chordata; Mammalia; Chiroptera; Vespertilionidae. The record is from Rfam.